Molecule: ribosomal RNA, 495 nt
Filed under: uncultured bacterium
Lineage: Bacteria
Description: bacterial SSU rRNA
Rfam family: Bacterial small subunit ribosomal RNA
Source: RNAcentral
AUGAACGCUAGCGACAGGCCUAACACAUGCAAGUCAGGGGCAGGCACAAGGAGCAAUCUGAGGUGGCGACCGGCGCACGGGUGAGUAACACGUAUGCAACCUGCCUGUAAGCGGGGAAUAACCCGUUGAAAGACGGACUAAUACCGCAUAAUACUAAAUUACUGCAUGGUAAUUUAUUUAAACAUUUAUGGCUUACAGAUGGGCAUGCGCAUGAUUAGCUAGUUGGAGAGGUAACGGCUCCCCAAGGCAACGAUCAUUAGGGGUUCUGAGAGGAAGGUCCCCCACACUGGUACUGAGACACGGACCAGACUCCUACGGGAGGCAGCAGUGAGGAAUAUUGGUCAAUGGACGAGAGUCUGAACCAGCCAAGUCGCGUGCAGGAAGAAUGUCCUAUUGGAUUGUAAACUGCUUUUGCAGGGGAAUAAAGUGCAUCACGUGUGAUGUUUUGUAUGUACUCUGCGAAUAAGGAUCGGCUAACUCCGUGCCAGCAGCUGC